ACACAUGCAAGUCGAGGGGCAGCAUGAACUUAGCUUGCUAAGUUUGAUGGCGACCGGCGCACGGGUGAGUAACACGUAUCCAACCUGCCGAUGACUCGGGGAUAGCCUUUCGAAAGAAAGAUUAAUACCCGAUGGCAUAGUUCUUCCGCAUGGUGGAACUAUUAAAGAAUUUCGGUCAUCGAUGGGGAUGCGUUCCAUUAGGUUGUUGGCGGGGUAACGGCCCACCAAGCCUUCGAUGGAUAGGGGUUCUGAGAGGAAGGUCCCCCACAUUGGAACUGAGACACGGUCCAAACUCCUACGGGAGGCAGCAGUGAGGAAUAUUGGUCAAUGGACGAGAGUCUGAACCAGCCAAGUAGCGUGAAGGAUGACUGCCCUAUGGGUUGUAAACUUCUUUUAUACGGGAAUAAAGUGAGGCACGUGUGCCUUUUUGUAUGUACCGUAUGAAUAAGGAUCGGCUAACUCCGUGCCAGCAGCCGCGGUAAUACGGAGGAUCCGAGCGUUAUCCGGAUUUAUUGGGUUUAAAGGGAGCGUAGGCGGACGCUUAAGUCAGUUGUGAAAGUUUGCGGCUCAACCGUAAAAUUGCAGUUGAUACUGGGUGUCUUGAGUACAGUAGAGGCAGGCGGAAUUCGUGGUGUAGCGGUGAAAUGCUUA
Molecule: ribosomal RNA, 651 nt
Filed under: uncultured bacterium
Lineage: Bacteria
Description: bacterial SSU rRNA
Rfam family: Bacterial small subunit ribosomal RNA
Source: RNAcentral